CCCUUAGACGUUCUGGGCCGCACGCGCGCUACACUGACCAGUGCAACAAGCAUCCGUCCUUGGCCGACAGGCCCGGGCAAUCUUUGAACGCUGGUCGUGAUGGGGAUAGACUUUUGCAAUUUUUGGUCUUCAACGAGGAAUUCCUAGUAAACGCAAGUCAUCAACUUGCAUUGAUUACGUCCCUGCCCUUUGUACACACCGCCCGUCGCACCUACCGAUUGAAUGGUCCGGUGAAGCCUCCGGAUUGGCGCGCACCUCGGUGCCGCCGAGAAGUUGGCUAAACCUUACCACUUAGAGGAAGGUGAAGUCGUAACA
This 315-nucleotide ribosomal RNA is filed under the name uncultured eukaryote. Its description in RNAcentral is "partial 18S ribosomal RNA". It matches the Rfam family "Eukaryotic small subunit ribosomal RNA", at positions 1470 to 1796 of the family's 1831-position model. The record is from RNAcentral.